Molecule: ribosomal RNA, 479 nt
Filed under: Candidatus Giovannonibacteria bacterium RIFCSPLOWO2_01_FULL_43_160
Lineage: Bacteria; Candidatus Giovannoniibacteriota
Description: bacterial SSU rRNA
Rfam family: Bacterial small subunit ribosomal RNA
Source: RNAcentral
UCAAAGGAAUAGACGGGGACUCGCACAAGCGGUGGAGCAUGUGGUUCAAUUCGAUGGUAAACGAAAAACCUUACCAGGGCUUGAAAUGGUUUUGACAUUCCAGCGAAAGCUGGACUUCUCACAAGGACAAAAUCACAGGUGCUGCAUGGCUGUCGUCAGUUCGUGGCUUGAGUUGUUCCCUUAAGUGGGGUAACGAACGCAACCCCUAUCGUGUGUUACAAGUGUCACGCGAGACUGCCCCGCUCAGCGGGGAGGAAGGCGGGGAUGACGCCAAGUCAGCAUGGCCCUCUGAUGCCCUGGGCUACACACGUGCUACAAUGCCGGUUACAAUGGGUCGCGAUGCCGUAAGGCGAAGCAAAUCCCAUCAAAAGCCGGCCCAGUUCAGAUUGAGGUCUGCAAUUCGACCUCAUGAAGUCGGAAUCGCUAGUAAUCGCAGGUCAGCUAUACUGCGGUGAAUACGUUCUCGAGUCUUGUACUCA